This 85-nucleotide transfer RNA is filed under the name Felis catus (domestic cat). It matches the Rfam family "tRNA". From Rfam's summary of the family: Transfer RNA (tRNA) molecules are approximately 80 nucleotides in length. Their secondary structure includes four short double-helical elements and three loops (D, anti-codon, and T loops). Further hydrogen bonds mediate the characteristic L-shaped molecular structure. tRNAs have two regions of fundamental functional importance: the anti-codon, which is responsible for specific mRNA codon recognition, and the 3' end, to which the tRNAs corresponding amino acid is attached (by aminoacyl-tRNA synthetases). tRNAs cope with the degeneracy of the genetic code in two manners: having more than one tRNA (with a specific anti-codon) for a particular amino acid; and 'wobble' base-pairing, i.e. permitting non-standard base-pairing at the 3rd anti-codon position. The record is from Rfam by way of RNAcentral. Lineage: Eukaryota; Metazoa; Chordata; Mammalia; Carnivora; Felidae.
GCCUGGGUGGCUCAGUCGGUUGAGCGUCCGACUUCGGCUCAGGUCAUGAUCUCAUGGCCCGUGGGUUCAAGCCCCGCACUGGGCU